AUGAGUUCAUUACAGUACCUUAAAAAGGUGGUUUAUUUUUUUAUACUAACGGAGCUCAUGAGAGUUUCUAUUGAAGUUUUGUGUUAUGUAGUUUUCAAGUUUUUGGGUAAAGAUUUGAUGGAUUUUGGAAUAAGGAGUGGCAAGAGCCUAAACUUGGGGAUGCUCAAGGCACCCCAAGGUAAUUCAAGGACAACCAAAAGCCUAGGCUUGGGGAUGCCCGGGAAGGCAUCCCCUCUUUUGUCUUCAUCUAUUGGUAACUUUACUUGUCGCUAUAUUUUUAUUCACCAUAUGAUAUGUGUUUUGCUUGGAGCGUCUUGUAUGAUUUGA
Molecule: ribosomal RNA, 327 nt
Filed under: Triticum aestivum (bread wheat)
Lineage: Eukaryota; Viridiplantae; Streptophyta; Magnoliopsida; Poales; Poaceae
Description: partial small subunit ribosomal RNA
Source: RNAcentral